This is a long non-coding RNA of Monodelphis domestica (gray short-tailed opossum), 3054 nucleotides long. RefSeq lists it as uncharacterized. The record is from RefSeq and is a predicted model, not a curated record. NCBI's taxonomy places the organism in Eukaryota, Metazoa, Chordata, Mammalia, Didelphimorphia, Didelphidae.
GAGAGGAGGCGGAGGUGGAGGAGGCGGUGGCCGGGACCUGGUACUCCAGCCCCUGCCUAGCGGGACCAGACCUGGGAUGUAAAAUCGCUCCCAGGCUUCCCAGACCCACGCACAUACGCGCGCCCACCCACGCCCAGCCAACACUCGCCUUACUGUGCUGAGCACCUGACUGGGAGCCGGGGGGACACAAAGGCCCACCCCCGGGCCCUGACCGCAGGUGAUGGCGUCCAGAACUAGAUGUGCAAACCAAGCCCGGGAACUUGUGCGGGAGGGGGCCGAGAGGGUCCGCAGAGCCGAUCGGGCAGAACCUUGAAGAAAGCCCGAAAUUUUAAGACGGAGGUACAGGGCAAGACGGGCUGUACAAAGGCUCGGAGAUGGGCGAUGAAUGGCCUAUCCGGGGACUGCAAGCCCGGGGACGGAACUGGCCGCCUACAGGUGCUGGAGUCAGGGUGGGAGGAGCCGGAGAUGCCCACGAGGGAGGGAAUGUGGACCUGGGCAGCCCUAGAAGGUCUCGAUUUGCGGCCGCUGGGCGAAAACCCAGAGGGCCGGUUGGAGGACCACAGCUCUGGGCUGUUUGCGGAGCCAGCGGCGAGGAGGACCUGAAAGAGCUCCCCCUGGUGGCGGCCCCGGGCUGGAGCCGUGACCACUGAGCAAGACCCCCGAGAAAGAAGGCGAGGAGGAACCCCCUGCGUCCGCCCCAGACACCGCCUCCUCCACCGCCCCGGCGCCGCUUGUUUUCCCGCUUUUGCUUUUCCGGAAAAAGAGCGAGGAAGGCAUCCAGCUAGGGCACCCCCCGAGCAGAUCUGCGCCUCGGGGAGACCCAGGUUCAAAGGAGCCCCUCAGUGGGGGCCUCCCCCAGCCAAACCUUUGGGGUCGUGGCUGUCCGAGGCACGUUUCCCUCUGGAAGAGCUUCUCAGAAGCGGGGCUCCCCCCUGCGUUUUCGUUUGGGGAUGAAGGGGAUGGAUCUGGCUGGCAAGGCCUCGGAGACCAGGAGCUGUCCAGCAGGGGGAAGGAAUGACGCCGAGAGACUCAGAGGGCACCGCAGAAGACCUGCAUGAACUGAUGCAGCACAACAGAGCAGAACCGGGAACUCUGGGUCCAGAGGAGCCUGCAGAGCGGGAAGCCCUCAGCGGUAGCCCCUUCCUGGCGGUGCGAAGCAGGAAGCCCACGUGGGAGCCCCCCCCCCCACACACACACACACAGAGAGCUAGCGGGAAGUUGUUCCGCUGGACAAUCUUUACUUGUCUCUCGGUGGACUUUCUGCGGGGGGGGGGGGGGGGGGGGGGGAAGGAGAACCCAACCAAAUGGAAGCUGGUGCCAAAUGCCUUUUAAAAUGCCUGGAGGAGACCCGAAGGGCUGGGUCUGGGGUAGGCGCCAUUUACAUACAAUCUGUGUGUCUCUUUUACAAAGGAAAAGCCCAGCGUGUGUCCUGUGCAUUCCUCAGCCAAUCUCCUUUGUUCUCUUCCCGGAUACUCGGAGAUGCCCCCGGACAGGCCGCGGUCCAGCUAGAAUCUCUUCUUUCCUUUCGGUGGAUCUCAGAGGCGAGGAUCCCAUCCCACCUGGAAACCCCACCUGCCCUGGGAAGUCUGUUGGACUUGAUUUGGAUGCAGUCAGGAAGAUGGCGCCUCCCCCCCUCCCCCACCUCAGUCUGGCUACCGAGCCUGCCAUUCCCCUGAGACUUCCUCUCCACACGGACACGUGCUGAGCGCUCCUCCGGAGGCCAGUCACUUAGUGUGGAACCUCGGGCAGUUGGCUCCCUCUCCAAGCCCCUUUCCGCUUCAGAAAUUCUCUUCCAGGCCCAGCAGUUUCUCCGAAGGGGAAGCUGGGAGGCCACCUGACAGACCAGGGUAGUUAAUGAAGGAUCCCUUAGGAAAUGAGAGCGAGGGGGGGGGGGGAUAGGCAGAGGGGGGAUCUCUGCCCAAGCACUGCCCUUCAUCAGAAGGAAACCAGCACCCAGGAGAGAGAGGCUAAGGACCCCCUGCCAGGAGCUCAUUCGGGGACUGGAGUGGACCAGGGAAGGGCUCCGAACUCUGCACUCCAGGGGCUCAUCAGAGACCUGUGUGGAGUAGAUUCAAGCUGUGGGUGAUCUGGGGCUGAGGCCCGGGGGCCAGGAGCCCUGACUCCUACUGCCCAAGCAGUGAGAGGAGAUCAGAAAGGCAGCACAAGCCAGCUUCAGAGCUGCAAGGGGCUUUGGAGGCCAUUCAGUCCAGCUCCUCUCACUUUACACAUGAAAAAAAGAUGAGGCCAAGGAAGGUUCAAUUACCAGCCCAUGGCCCCACGGCUAAGAAGUGCCAGGUGGAAAGGCAAGACUUGAAGCCUUCCCAACUCGGUGUAGAGCUGUAGUACCUCGGACCCAGGCUGCCUGGCCUGUAGGGAAUCUGUGCCUCUAUGGACAGAUUGUCUGGAUGUUCUUGGAGGAGACCAGCCUUUGACUUGUCUAGAUCUCUGGCCCAUGGGGCUGGGCAUUGCUUUUCUUUUUUCCUUCUUGUCUGGAUAGAUGUAAGGCUGGCAGGUGCUAAUUCUAUGUUAACUGAACUGAGGCCCUUCCUGAGGGAGAGCCCUGAUCAGCUGAAUAAUGGGCCAAAUUAAACAAGGAAGAAACUGUCACCGCAGUCAGUGUGAGGUCUAAAAUCUGAGAUUCAAAGUCAACUCUGCUUCGAAGGAGGAUUGUUAGCUAGACAGUCUGGGGUUUGGGGAGACAACCCUAGAGGCUCAGGAGGAAUCCAUAGGGCUAUCAGGAGGCCAGAAAGGCCAGGGGAUCUUGGGGAGGAUCAGAGAGACAUGGAGGUGGAAGGCCCAGGGUUUUCUGCCUAGCCAGAGCUGUGGAUUGGGUUCAGUUUGGGAUCCACAGUCUAGGUAGGAGGCCACUAAAUGGAAGAUGGCUCAGGAGAGGAUGCCUGGAACAAAGAGACCUUGGGUUAAUAAUGAUGGGCUGGAGGAAUUUUCUGAGGACAAGAAAUGCUUCAUUUUUUUGGCCUCAGUAUGCCCAGUGCCUGGUGCCAUAGUAAGCCCUGAGUUAAUGUUUAAAAACAAAAUAAAACAACCCUUACCUUC